GGAUGCGAUCAUACCAGCACUAACGCCCCGGAUCCCAUCAGAACUCCGAAGUUAAGCAUGCUUUGGCGAGAGUAGUACUAGGAUGCGUGACCUCCUGGGAAGUCCUCGUGUUGCAUCCCU
RNAcentral lists this ribosomal RNA (120 nucleotides) under Solanum wendlandii. The record is from RNAcentral. Lineage: Eukaryota; Viridiplantae; Streptophyta; Magnoliopsida; Solanales; Solanaceae.